This 400-nucleotide ribosomal RNA is filed under the name uncultured bacterium. Its description in RNAcentral is "bacterial SSU rRNA". It matches the Rfam family "Bacterial small subunit ribosomal RNA", at positions 355 to 771 of the family's 1533-position model. The record is from RNAcentral.
UGAGGAAUAUUGCACAAUGGGCGCAAGCCUGAUGCAGCGACGCCGCGUGAGUGAUGAAGGCCUUCGGGUCGUAAAGCUCUUUUCUAGGUGACGAGAAUGGACGGUAGCCUAGGAAUAAGUGUCGGCUAACUACGUGCCAGCAGCCGCGGUAAAACGUAGGACACAAACGUUAUCCGGAGUUACUGGGCGUAAAGGGCGUGUAGGCGGGUCGGUAAGUCUACUCUGAAAGCUUCUGGCUAAACUGGAAGAGGCGAGUGGAGACUGUCGGUCUAGAGUGAGGAAGAGGAAAGUGGAAUUCCGCGUGUAGUGGUGAAAUGCGUAGAGAUGCGGAGGAACACCAGUGGCGAAAGCGGCUUUCUGGUCCUUAACUGACGCUGAGGCGCGAAAGCAUGGGGAGCGA